RNAcentral lists this long non-coding RNA (2100 nucleotides) under Mus musculus (house mouse). Its description in RNAcentral is "RIKEN cDNA 1700055D16 gene, transcript variant 2 (1700055D16Rik)". Lineage: Eukaryota; Metazoa; Chordata; Mammalia; Rodentia; Muridae. The record is from RNAcentral.
CCCGAGUGCUGGGAUUAAAGGCGUGCACCACCACGCCCGGCUUAGCAUAUUUUUAAUAUUAUGUAGAAUCCAAGUUUGAAGUUCUGGCCAAGGGCAUUUCUGGCAAGUAAAAUAAUAUAUGUACAUAUAUAUAAAUUACAUAUGUAUAUGCAUAUAUUAUACACACACAUACAUACAUACAUACAUACAUACACACAUACAUGGUGAAGUGCUGAAAAUACCUUUUCCUGUUUUGAUGUUCUCACUUCCCAACUACUGGAAUGUGUGUAAUACUACAUCUGGCUUAUACUGGAUUUUUAAUCCUCAUAACAACCUUUAUAAAAGGGAUUCUGGCUUUGUAGCCCAGGUUAUUCUCAGACUCAUGUACCCUAGGCUGGCCUCAAACUUGUAGUUACCCUACCUCAGCUUCCCCCAAAUGCUGGCGUUAGAGAUAUGUGUCCCCAUACACAGCUUAUGUUUAUGAUUUUUUUUACAUUGAACAAAACAGAGACUGGGAAAAAAAUCAAGGAGCUUUGCAAGGACACAUAAGUGGUAAUAAGAAGUUGAAACUAAAUUCAAGUGUCCCCAUGAGACCAAUUUGUUUAGAAAAUACAGAAUAUGAGUUCCAAAUAACACUAAAGCAAUAUCGCUUCUCUUAGCAUACACUUCUGUGGAGCUUGUGACUCAAAUAUAAGCUGCAGAGGGGCUGGAACUCGCCAGCUACAGAGUCCAGGGGCACAUGGUGGACAUGUACAAGGUAUUGACACCAAGUCCUCUGAGUCACUGUGAGGUUUAAAUCCUGUGCCAAGUAAAGCGCCGAGUACCUGUACGGUGACAUGGUAACCACCUCACGCCACUCCUUCCGCCUUAGGAAACCCUCAUAUGGAACCGACCUAGAUGACGACCCACAGACUGAACUGGGGUACAGAGAAUGAGGAAGCUCAUUCCAGGAAGAAGAAACAAGUACAACAGGAGAAACAGAAGUAAUGUGUGUCGAAACAGCAUUUGACUGCAAUAGUAUAAAGUCUGGGAAACAAUUUAGAGCUAGAUUACGUUAGGACCCAGCCAAAGAAUUUACAUGCUAGCCUAUUGAGUCUGGCUAGCACUGCCUGCAUGCACAUGACUGUGGAGCCAUCCACUGGAGCCUGGGUAACGUAACAAUAGACACACUCCUAAAGAAAAAUGACUCUCCUGCUCAUCAAUUGAACUUGUGGAUUGCCAACAGUUCCUCGGCUGUGGGAAAGCCUCGUGAACUCCUCUCCCCUCCAGGCUGGAAUGUUGACUGACUUGAUCUCAUGCAGGUCUUGUGCUGGUAAGCACAGCUGUUGUGAGCUCAUGAGUGCCAUAGCCAUGCCAUGCCCAUAAAAGCAUUUCACAGCACCCCUCCCUGACCUUCCACUCUUGCGUUAUUUCUGCCCCAUCUUCCUUGACAGUCCUUGAGUUGUGGGUGGAGGGGUUGUAGGACUGAUAUAAACGUCCCGUUUGGGGGUGAGCUCUCAAGAGUCCCUUAUCCUCAGCAUUUUGACCAGUAAUCAGGUUGAGAGCAGCACUAAUGUAUGGUUAUAAAUGUAAAUAUUUUAGAAGGCUGUUUGACAGCAUGUCCAUUUAGCAAAUAAGAGUAGAGGUUCCUCUAUAGCCAUGAGCUUUAGACCAUAGUACCAGGCAUGGAUUGUCUCCUGUAGAGAGAAUUCCUUCCUCAAAUCUAAGCAGGAAACAGUUGGUUAUCUCCACAGUAGCUAUGCUGCUAUUGCACAGGUAGGCACACUUUGCCUGGCAGGCCGGCGUUGUAAUAUGCAGGAUCCACUGCUGGGUAAAUCCACUGAUGGCUCUUCUUCCCUAGUGGGGCUGCAGAGUAUCUUCCAGCACUGUGAAACAUGACCAGCAGGGAAAAGGUUUUCAGGUCAGUCCUUCAUUGAUUUCUUCAUGUCCUGCAACCAACGUGUGUUAUAUCUUCAACAAUAAGGUUUAGCCAUUAGAAAGACCUUUGCAAAGCAGUGCCAUUCGUCUUGGACAGGUAUGACUAAGUUUAUAAAAACCAUCCAUGGGGCUGGAGAAAUGGCUCAGCGGUUAAAAGCACUGACUCCCAAAAGUCCUGAGUUCAAAUCCCAGCAACCACAUGGU